UACUUUGCAGGUACCACUAACUGACGAUUCGGCGGAGGGGCAACACUCUUCUGGAAAGGCUUAGGGAUCCUGUAUAACCGGUCCCCCACCCACUCAUACUGUUCCCCAUCUUCUCCUUCCUCUCCAGCAUCUGCCCUAUCUCGGUAUUUCUGGAGAGUCGGGUCUACCGGGUUUCCCUCCCAAACUCCUUAAGCCUUACUAAGCUUAAGGUGACCUGAUCUAAGGUACCAGUCGGGGAAGAGGGUCUUACCUGGGUCUCAUCAGCAGGUGGGCCGGAUCCAGCAGAACGGGUCUGGGCACGAGUAGUCACUAGGUUAUCGUCCGCAGGGCCCAUCGGGGCAUAGGCUGAAACUAAGGGGGCCAGAUCAUUCCCAAGGAGGACAUCAGCGGGCAAGUCUUUCAUAACCCCCACAUCCACGUGUCUAGCGCCCACUCCCCAAUCCAAAUGUACCCGGGCAACAGGUAAACGAAACACGGCACCCCCUGCUACCCUCACCGCCACAGUGUCCC
Non-coding RNA from Pelobates cultripes (western spadefoot toad), 510 nucleotides. Lineage: Eukaryota; Metazoa; Chordata; Amphibia; Anura; Pelobatidae. The record is from the annotation of a GenBank genome assembly.